Molecule: ribosomal RNA, 376 nt
Filed under: uncultured bacterium
Lineage: Bacteria
Description: bacterial SSU rRNA
Rfam family: Bacterial small subunit ribosomal RNA
Source: RNAcentral
UACGUAGGUGGCGAGCGUUGUCCGGAAUUACUGGGUGUAAAGGGCGUGUAGGCGGGGAAGCAAGUCAGAUGUGAAAUUCCGGGGCUCAACUCCGGCGUUGCAUCUGAAACUGUUUUUCUUGAGUGCUGGAGAGGAAAGCGGAAUUCCUAGUGUAGCGGUGAAAUGCGUAGAUAUUAGGAGGAACACCAGUGGCGAAGGCGGCUUUCUGGACAGUAACUGACGCUGAGGCGCGAAAGCGUGGGGAGCAAACAGGAUUAGAUACCCUGGUAGUCCACGCCGUAAACGAUGGAUACUAGGUGUAGGAGGUAUCGACCCCUUCUGUGCCGGAGUUAACACAAUAAGUAUCCCACCUGGGGAGUACGGCCGCAAGGUUGAA